This 904-nucleotide ribosomal RNA is filed under the name Escherichia coli. Its description in RNAcentral is "partial 23S ribosomal RNA". It matches the Rfam family "Bacterial large subunit ribosomal RNA", at positions 323 to 1230 of the family's 2925-position model. The record is from RNAcentral. Lineage: Bacteria; Pseudomonadati; Pseudomonadota; Gammaproteobacteria; Enterobacterales; Enterobacteriaceae.
UGUGUGUUAGUGGAAGCGUCUGGAAAGGCGCGCGAUACAGGGUGACAGCCCCGUACACAAAAAUGCACAUAUUGUGAGCUCGAUGAGUAGGGCGGGACACGUGGUAUCCUGUCUGAAUAUGGGGGGACCAUCCUCCAAGGCUAAAUACUCCUGACUGACCGAUAGUGAACCAGUACCGUGAGGGAAAGGCGAAAAGAACCCCGGCGAGGGGAGUGAAAAAGAACCUGAAACCGUGUACGUACAAGCAGUGGGAGCACGCUUAGGCGUGUGACUGCGUACCUUUUGUAUAAUGGGUCAGCGACUUAUAUUCUGUAGCAAGGUUAACCGAAUAGGGGAGCCGAAGGGAAACCGAGUCUUAACUGGGCGUUAAGUUGCAGGGUAUAGACCCGAAACCCGGUGAUCUAGCCAUGGGCAGGUUGAAGGUUGGGUAACACUAACUGGAGGACCGAACCGACUAAUGUUGAAAAAUUAGCGGAUGACUUGUGGCUGGGGGUGAAAGGCCAAUCAAACCGGGAGAUAGCUGGUUCUCCCCGAAAGCUAUUUAGGUAGCGCCUCGUGAAUUCAUCUCCGGGGGUAGAGCACUGUUUCGGCAAGGGGGUCAUCCCGACUUACCAACCCGAUGCAAACUGCGAAUACCGGAGAAUGUUAUCACGGGAGACACACGGCGGGUGCUAACGUCCGUCGUGAAGAGGGAAACAACCCAGACCGCCAGCUAAGGUCCCAAAGUCAUGGUUAAGUGGGAAACGAUGUGGGAAGGCCCAGACAGCCAGGAUGUUGGCUUAGAAGCAGCCAUCAUUUAAAGAAAGCGUAAUAGCUCACUGGUCGAGUCGGCCUGCGCGGAAGAUGUAACGGGGCUAAACCAUGCACCGAAGCUGCGGCAGCGACGCUGAUGCGUUGUUGGGUA